RNAcentral lists this long non-coding RNA (602 nucleotides) under Phoenix dactylifera (date palm). RNAcentral's name for it is "long non-coding RNA (PDAC_LNC000660)". The record is from RNAcentral. Lineage: Eukaryota; Viridiplantae; Streptophyta; Magnoliopsida; Arecales; Arecaceae.
CCUCGCGUCGUCCUGAUCCUCCCUCUUCGAAGUUUCCGACCACCAAAUUUAGGACCAUCAUCACCGAUCUCUCCCAUCUUCCCUUCCUUGGCCUCUCUUCUUCCCCUCCUUCCUAGGUGGAAGAAAUAGAGAUUGGGGUUACCACCGAGAGGAGGGGUGAGAGAAAGAGCCUCCUCUCCGAUCAUGAACACGGAGCCGAUCUGCUCAUCCCAAGAGUAGGAAGGUCGGAUCCUAGAUAAGGUUCACUAGAGAUGGAGAAUUAGAUGCGGAGUAAAAAAGCAGAGAAGAAAGAAAGAGAGAAGUACCAUCGGCGCAACAGACUGUGGUCACGGCCGUGGCCCAUCGUGUUGGUGUCAGAUCGUUGACCACAACCAAGUUAGUUCUCCCCCCUUUUCCACUCCUCUUCUUUCAUUUUCCUAUUCUACCUCGUCCUUUGUUCUAAGUGGACAACUCCGUUAUGAACCAUAAAGUUAAAUAUAUCCAUAUAUAAGACUCAUCACGCUAUCAAAGAGAGAUAUUCUCUCUUUUUCUCCUUGAGAAAAUGAAUCGUUCACUAUUGUAUCUACUGUAUCUGGUGCAUUAAGAACUGUGACUCGUUAUCA